This 317-nucleotide ribosomal RNA is filed under the name Xylanibacter ruminicola. RNAcentral's name for it is "bacterial SSU rRNA". It matches the Rfam family "Bacterial small subunit ribosomal RNA", at positions 1 to 307 of the family's 1533-position model. The record is from RNAcentral. Lineage: Bacteria; Pseudomonadati; Bacteroidota; Bacteroidia; Bacteroidales; Prevotellaceae.
AUACAAUGAAGAGUUUGAUCCUGGCUCAGGAUGAACGCUAGCUACAGGCUUAACACAUGCAAGUCGAGGGGCAGCAUGAUCGAAGCUUGCUUUGAUUGAUGGCGACCGGCGCACGGGUGAGUAACGCGUAUCCAACCUUCCCCAUAGUAGAGAAUAGCCCGGCGAAAGUCGGAUUAAUGCUCUAUGUUGUAUCAUGAGGACAUCUGAAUAAUACCAAAGGUUUACCGCUAUGGGAUGGGGAUGCGUCUGAUUAGGUUGUUGGCGGGGUAACGGCCCACCAAGCCCACGAUCAGUAGGGGUUCUGAGAGGAAGGUCCC